This is a long non-coding RNA of Scleropages formosus (Asian bonytongue), 2016 nucleotides long. The record is from Ensembl. Lineage: Eukaryota; Metazoa; Chordata; Actinopteri; Osteoglossiformes; Osteoglossidae.
GCGGGGAGCAGGAGCCUAACCCGGCAACGCAGGGCAUAAGGCCGGAGGGGGAGGGGACACACCCAGGAUGGGACGCCAGUCCAUCGCAAGGCACCCCAAGCGGGACUCAAACCCCAGACCCACCGGAGAGCAGGACCCGGCCCAACCCGCUGCACCACUGCGCUCCCGCACCCCUGUCUGAGAUAGAGACACUGUUAAUAUUGAGAGACAUUUCCGCCAAAAGGCCAAAGGAGUUUACUGUAGAGAGGGAAACGGCAAUGCUUAGAACGGCAUCACAUUUUACAGUAUGAAUAAGUUUAGUAUACUGUAGUAUCAAGCACCGCAGUUAACGCACAAUGGUCAACGGCAAGAAGGCAUGAUGUUCAAGUGGUUUUUAUUGUCAUUCCUCUAUAUAGCUUGUAUAUGGUGGAACAAAAUGUCGUUUCUCCGGAGACCAUAGCGCAACACAGAACAAGAGUACAGGACAGUAAAUAAAUGCACAGGACGUGGACGUGGAUGCGGAUAUGGGCUGUGAACUGUAGGCAGUUUAUAGUGUAUGGAGUCAUGCUGGGUUAGCUGUUUGACUGUGCCAGGUGAGUGUUGGGAGGCAGCAGGGUUUUGAGUAAUCUGACUGCCUCAGGGAAGACGCUGUUGCGGAGUCUGCUGGUGACCCGAAGUGGCCGCUGUGCGCUACCGCGCCGCCAUCCUGUGCUUUUUUUUAAUACGGUAUCUUCUCUAUCUUUUUAUAUCUUUUAAAGCUAUAGUGUCUCAAGGCUUAAUAUGAAAAUUCACAUCGUGAUGAUGAACGCCUUUUCCAAGGACACGGUGUACUUUGAAUGUGGAGCUGUGGUGGACGUUGUUGAUGACCAGGGCCUCAUCCUGUCUCCAGGCUUUCCUUACAACUACUCUUCAGGGGCACACUGUGUGUGGCAGUUCUUUGUGCCUGUGGGCUACCAGCUUGUGCUGGAGAUGUUUGACUUUGACGUUUAUGAGAAUCAUCAAAGCCCUGCCAAGUAUGUGUCUGGGACACAUGCGGACGAGGACGCCCACAACAGCACUUCGCCAGCCCGGAGGGAUGCUGCCGUGGAUUAUGUGCCCAUCGCCAAGGAACCUUUCUUCCCAGCCCAAGAGGGCACAGUCAAGCCACUUCAGGCUUUCCAGAAGAAUGACAUCAAGCAUUUGGUGAUGCAGGAGAAGUCCGCAAAAAUGGAAAUGGCCAAGGUGCCCAACUGGGCCAAAUGGUCUGCCGACGUGCCUUCUGCACGACCCCUGCACCUCCGGCCAGCGGAUGUGACGGAUCGGAGACAUGUCUCACCGGAGGGCUUCGGAGGGGAAGCCGACCCUAACCCGACCCGGCCCACCCGGCAGGCUGCUCAGACCCCGCCGUCCGAUACGGGGGCUGAGACCCAGCAGCCUGUGGUGGAUGCCUGCCCUCAUGAUGUCCUCUACAUCUCCGACCUAAUCACAUUCUCCUCCCGCUUCUGCGGCUCCAACAGCCCCACGGGCCAGCGGAUGGUGUUCGGCUCUCCGGAGGAGAUGGUGGAAGUCAUCAUGGAGCUGAUCACAACCACGCACUGGGGCCGAGGCUUCGCUCUGCUCUUCCGCUACCACAACCACACAGAUGCCGAGGACCGACGCCUCAACGCGCUCGCUACAGGCAGAAUGGACACUCUGCUGACCGCUUUGGGAGGGGUGACCUUCUUUGCGCUGGUUCUCACCAGUGCUCUCUGCAUAAUCUUCAGACCAAAGCUGUGCGCGAAGGGGGCCGCCACCUGUUCGCCCAACAGCUCUGAGUUGCAGGGCGACAUGCCGAGUACCGGGACAGAUGCAGGCGAGCUGCAGCUGGUGGUGCCGAGUUACACGGGCGUGCCGGUCUGCGCCGAGAGCAGGAUCAUCGGGAACCCGGGGAACGUCAAGCGCUCCUUCAGCCUGCCACACACAGGUGGGUCCUCCGGCAAGUCUGGCCGCCCCGUUCCCCUGGAGCUUUCGCUCCGGACCGCGUCCGCUGGAGCCGCACAUGACCUCAUUCGUCCCUAA